This 440-nucleotide ribosomal RNA is filed under the name uncultured bacterium. Its description in RNAcentral is "partial 16S ribosomal RNA". It matches the Rfam family "Bacterial small subunit ribosomal RNA", at positions 338 to 795 of the family's 1533-position model. The record is from RNAcentral.
CCUACGGGAGGCAGCAGUGGGGAAUAUUGCACAAUGGGGGAAACCCUGAUGCAGCGACGCCGCGUGCGUGAAGAAGUAUUUCGGUAUGUUAAGCUCUAUUAGUAGGGAGGAAAAUGACGGUACCUGACUAAGAAGCCCCGGCUAACUACGUGCCAGCAGCCGUGGUAAUACGUAGGGGGCCAGCGUUAUCCGGAUUAACUGGGGGUAAAGGGAGCGUAGGCGGACAGACAAGUCAGAAGUGAAAGCCCAGGGUUCAACCCUGGGACGGCUUUGGAAACUGCCGGGCUGGAGUGCAGGAGAGGUAAGCGGAAUGCCUAGGGUAGCGGUGAAAUGCGUAGAGAUUAGGAGGAACACCAGUGGCGAAGGCAGCUUACUGGACUGUAACUGACGUUGAGGCACGAAAGCGUGGGGAGCAAACAGGAUUAGAUACCCGUGUAGUC